Molecule: ribosomal RNA, 253 nt
Filed under: uncultured bacterium
Lineage: Bacteria
Description: partial 16S ribosomal RNA
Rfam family: Bacterial small subunit ribosomal RNA
Source: RNAcentral
GACGGAGGGGGCUAGCGUUGUUCGGAAUGACUGGGCGUAAAGGGCGUGUAGGCUGUUGAUCAAGUCAAGCGUGAAAGCCUCGGGCUUAACCCGAGAACUGCGUUUGAUACUGGUUGACUUGAGGACGAGAGAGGAAAGUGGAAUUCCGAGUGUAGAGGUGAAAUUCGUAGAUAUUCGGAGGAACAUCAGAGGCGAAGGCGGCUUUCUGGCUCGUAUCUGACGCUGAGGCGCGAAAGCGUGGGGAGCAAACAGG